UAGGGAAUAUUGGUCAAUGGAGGAGACUCUGAACCAGCCAUGCCGCGUGCAGGAAGACGGCCUUCUGGGUUGUAAACUGCUUUUAUCAGGGGACAAAACGGUCCAUGCGUGGAUCACUGAGUGUACCUGAGGAAUAAGCACCGGCUAACUCCGUGCCAGCAGCCGCGGUAAUACGGAGGGUGCAAGCGUUGUCCGGAUUUAUUGGGUUUAAAGGGUGCGUAGGCGGCGCAGUAAGUCAGUGGUGAAAUCUUCCGGCUCAACCGGGAAACUGCCAUUGAUACUGCUGUGCUUGAGUAUAGUAAAGGUAGGCGGAAUUGAUAGUGUAGCGGUGAAAUGCAUAGAUAUUAUCAAGAACACCGAUAGCGUAGGCAGCUUACUAGACUAUAACUGACGCUGAGGCACGAAAGUGUGGGUAUCGAACAGGAUUAGAUACCCCCGUAGUCC
This 444-nucleotide ribosomal RNA is filed under the name uncultured prokaryote. Its description in RNAcentral is "partial 16S ribosomal RNA". It matches the Rfam family "Bacterial small subunit ribosomal RNA", at positions 355 to 796 of the family's 1533-position model. The record is from RNAcentral.